UGCUAGAUGAAUCCCAUAAUUUUGCAAAAUGCACUAAGAUCAUGGGCGAUAGCGUACCCCGUCGGUUCCUCGCCUACAACGUAAUCCGCGAGAAAUGCUGCCCGAGGCUGGGCUCCCGGCGGUGCCUCGUCGUCGUUGGCUUUCCGAUGCGGCGUCGGAUCCUAGACAUCGCCAAUGCCACCGUCUGGGCGCGACGCGAGCGAGGGAACGCCGCCGGCGGCGGCUCACGAGGUGCGGAAGAGACCCUGCCGAAGCCGGACGGGGGCCACCGGUGCGACCGCAUCCACACCAGGGGCCGCCGCUUCGGCGGCUGCACCGCGUCGUCCUCGCCACGCGACGUCGAGCCGCCGCCGCACGCGCGCUUCCUCUUGGCGCCGGGCGAGGGGAGGAGGGCCGCGACGGAGCCCGCGCACCCGCUCCCCUCCCGUCGGUGGCGAGCGCCGGGUGCCGGGCGCCCGUCGACGUCCAUGUCCUCCUGCGUGGCGGCGGUCCGGGCGGCGUCCAGGCUGAGGACCCUGACGAACAUGUCGAGGUCGCCGCCGGGCCCCGCCAGGCGCUCGAGCUCCUCGACGGCCUCCGUGAGGCGGUCCACCUCGUCGCUGCAGACGAAGAGCGCCCUGAAGCCCGCGAGGAAGCGGCGGGCGGAGCUCGCGACGGCCGCGGCGCGGCCCGCGGCGUCGAGCACCUCCUGCCCCCGCAGCGCCUCGGAUCGGAGCACCUGCAGCCAGGCCGAGAACGACUCGUCCCGCACGGCCGCCCCCGCAUUGCCCUCGGCGGCGUCCACCACCAUGCGCACCUUCGAGACCAGCUGGCGCAGGCGGCGCCGGCGCUGGUCAACCCGCGAGUGCGCUGACCAGUUCCCCUUGAUGAAGCCGAUGAACUCGCCCAACAGGGUCGAUUCGAGGAUCUCCAUCUUCCUCCUCAAAUCGACCUGAAGCAGCGCUGUAGCGGCAACUGUUCUUAUUCAAUGCUCAAUGAGGAGUCCCAAUGAGGCGGCGGGGGCAGUAUCCGUGCCGUGGUGGAAAUGAACAGAAUGGAACUAGCUGUAGCUGCUAGGGGGAGUAAUCGGAUCGAUACAUUGUUUUUUAUAUUACAUAUUUUCUUUUGAAUACGAA
Molecule: unclassified non-coding RNA, 1115 nt
Filed under: Zea mays
Lineage: Eukaryota; Viridiplantae; Streptophyta; Magnoliopsida; Poales; Poaceae
Description: misc RNA Zm00001eb336300
Source: RNAcentral